GCCCGGGUGGUGGAACUGGUAGACACGCAAGACUUAAAAUCUUGUUUCCUUACGGAAGUGCGGGUUCAAGUCCCGCCCCGGGCACCA
RNAcentral lists this transfer RNA (87 nucleotides) under Candidatus Peregrinibacteria bacterium. RNAcentral describes it as "tRNA-Leu". It matches the Rfam family "tRNA". Rfam says of the family: Transfer RNA (tRNA) molecules are approximately 80 nucleotides in length. The record is from RNAcentral. Lineage: Bacteria; Candidatus Peregrinibacteriota.